This 497-nucleotide ribosomal RNA is filed under the name uncultured bacterium. RNAcentral's name for it is "partial 16S ribosomal RNA". It matches the Rfam family "Bacterial small subunit ribosomal RNA", at positions 28 to 507 of the family's 1533-position model. The record is from RNAcentral.
GAUGAACGCUGGCGGCGUGCCUAAUACAUGCAAGUCGAGCGAACAGACGAGGAGCUUGCUCCUCUGACGUUAGCGGCGGACGGGUGAGUAACACGUGGAUAACCUACCUAUAAGACUGGGAUAACUUCGGGAAACCGGAGCUAAUACCGGAUAAUAUAUUGAACCGCAUGGUUCAAUAGUGAAAGACGGUUUUGCUGUCACUUAUCGAUGGAUCCGCGCCGCAUUAGCUAGUUGGUAAGGUAACGGCUUACCAAGGCAACGAUGCGUAGCCGACCGGAGAGGGUGGUAGGCCACCCUGGAACGGAGCCAGGGUCCAGAGUCCUAAGGGAGGGAGCAGUCGGGAAUCUUCCGCAAUGGGCGAAAGCCUUACGGAGCAACGCCGCGUGAGUGAUGAAGGUCUUCGGAUCGUAAAACUCUGUUAUUAGGGAAGAACAAAUGUGUAAGUAACUAUGCACGUCUUGACGGUACCUAAUCAGAAAGCCACGGCUAACUACGUG